GGACGGCCAUGUGCGCGGCGGAGAGGCCGGGUGGCCACCGAACCUUCCCGCCUGUUCUGCGGUGGGUAGGAGUUUGGAAACUAAUGUUCCUGUGCUAACCUUCGUGUCUCUGUGACAUGACUGUUGAAAGACGGAGAGUGCGGAAUCUUUGGAGUUUUAAGCUUGCCAACUGUGCGGCCUAGCAGAAUCCUGGGAGACGGAAGGACAGCCAAGAGGCUAGGAUUUACCUUUAAGUGUCCCUAGAUUCAACUAGGCAGACUGGGACGGGAGACGCUGUGAAGGUACCAGGGAAGGAACGAGUGAGGUUCCUUUUCCACUUUUUCAUAAACUCAACAGUCAGGUUCAUGACGAAGAUAUAGAUAUUUCUGUAGAUUUUUUCCCCAACAUUCUAAUUAUGCCUCAUGUUUCGUAGAUCCUAGUAACUGCUUGGAUUACUGCCACCUCAGAGGGGCGUCUGGGCAUGGCUUUCCCAACCUAGUAACUGCAACUUUUAGCAUCCUACAUGUAGGACUUGGGAAUAUGUGAGACAGCGCCAAGAAUUUAAUCCAGGAGAAUUGACAAGCUUAAAUGAAAUCCAUAUUGCCCACUGAUUUUGUGCAGCUUCAGAUAAGUAAUCUUUCUCCACUUAGCCUUUUGUAACAAUUGAUGUAAUAAAGGUUUGUAGUCUUUGUGUAAUUUAUUAAAGCAUUGUGCCUAAAAUAGAAAAAAAGCAUAGGAACCAUAGGCUGUGUUUUCUUUUGAUUUAAUAUUUUCAUUUCUUCAGUUAAUAGAAAUUUGCCAAAUUC
Molecule: long non-coding RNA, 785 nt
Filed under: Homo sapiens (human)
Lineage: Eukaryota; Metazoa; Chordata; Mammalia; Primates; Hominidae
Description: non-protein coding GABPB1-AS1:31
Source: RNAcentral